This 262-nucleotide ribosomal RNA is filed under the name uncultured bacterium. RNAcentral describes it as "partial small subunit ribosomal RNA". It matches the Rfam family "Bacterial small subunit ribosomal RNA", at positions 26 to 285 of the family's 1533-position model. The record is from RNAcentral.
AGAACGAACGCUGGCGGCAUGCCUAACACAUGCAAGUCGAACGCUUCCGGGGCUUCGGUCGCGGAGGAGUGGCGCACGGGUGAGUAGCGCGUGGGAACCUGCCCUGUUGUGGGGGAUAACCGAGGGAAACUUCGGCUAAUACCGCAUACGCCCCGGGACUUGGUCUUCGGAUUAGGUCUGGGGGGAAAGAUUGAUCGCAGCAGGAGGGGCUCGCGGCCUAUCAGCUUGUUGGGGGGUAACGCCCACAAGGCGACGACGGGUA